CCCACUGAAAGCUCUACUAAGGCUUUGACAUUUCUUGUCCACCAAUUUCUAGAUAAUGUUCAUCUUUGUCCCUCUUCACUAGUGGACACCUAAGUCAGCUUGUGCUCUUCCAAAUGGGGAAGAAAACCAUUUGGAAGGGUGUCCAUCCAGAAGUAGUAGAAAACUAAUAAUAAUCAGGGAGAUUAUUUAACUAAAUUGUCAAAUGAUUCCAGCACUGUUGAUUUUGCCAUAAAUCUUCUUAAUUAUAAAUAAUAAAACCAAGAUGCAAAAAAUAAAACAAGUAUCAUCAAACUGGAAGGGCAAGGGAUGGGAGCCUGGAACAGCGGACCAGGAUUUGAGAAUACAUUUUUUAAAAGCAAUUGAAAGUUUCUGAGAAGGGGAAUGACCCAGUCAAAGCCCACAUUGAGAAUGGUGGUGGGCAGAUGGAAGGCGGAGAGAGGGGGAGCAGGGAUGAAGGCACUGCAUCUCCUGGGGUGAAGACAGCCAGUGGCAGUGGGACUUGUAAGAAGGGGACAGCUGUGAAGGUAUUGAAGGAAGUAGAAUCCACCAGAUCAACAGCCAACGUGAGAGGUAAAGAGAAGGGACAGAGGCCAAGGAUCUUUUUGUGCCUGUCUAACAGGGAGGAUAACUACUAAAGUAGCCUCUAAAUACAUUUAAGAAAUUAGUAAAUUAAUUAAUAAAUUACUAAAUUAGCCUCUAAAUUGGCUCUUUUUAAUCACUGGCAGCGUUGUUUCUCAGAAUGUUUUGACCUGUGGGCAAUUUAAGUGGACCCAAGACCCUAUUUAAUCUCUAUACUCUUGCUUAUUACAAAAAAAAAAAAAAAAAAAAAGAUCCAUGUGAAUACUGGCUUCCAAUGUCUCUUUCCAAGAUUGCUACUGUGCUUGGUUCAUGGAUGAUGACAACAAAUGUAAAUCUUACCCAGAGUAUGUAUGCAAAUGUAGACAACAAUUUGUUUUCUGGUCAUGUUAAAUUUACUGUUCAGAACCUUAUAGGGUAAAUGUAGAACAACACAUCUUCCAGCCAUAUCUUCUGCAUUCUUUAGGCUGUAAUCCCUGCAUUCCUGCAAUGUGAUCUCUUUCAGUGCCGGCUGUAUGGAUGCUUUCCACACAUGACACCAACAGGGAGGUUAGGAGGGUCCUAUGGUCAGAGUGAUAAGAGUGGUCCCACUCACGCACGGAUCAUCCUUCCCUCACCCUCGGCAGCUUAAAACUGACCUGAGAGAGCCUGAUGUCACUACAUCGGGUGGACCCUACAAGAGAGGGCAUGGAUUGAUAGGGUCACUUGUAAUUUAGGAGUGAUUGUCUUGAAAGCCCUUGAGGGAGACAGGCACAGCCUUGCUCAGGUCUAAGAAUGGUAUCACUGAAAGGAUUGUUUUAUUUUAUUGCUUUUUGUUUCAUUUUUUUACAACUGAUAUCCACAUUUCAAAACAAAAGAAUAAGACUUCUGGUAGAUUUCCUCAAAGGCAACUACUGAGAGAUUUGCCAAAGCCAUUGCCCCAGGGGUUGGUUUACAAAAACAAGGGCAUUGGAAAGCCAUGUAAUCUGAACUUUUCUCUCUGGCCUAUGCCAGCAUUUUAGCUGCCAAUAAGUAGACUUGCUUUUUGUUUCCAAAAAUAAAAAGUUAUUAUACUCUUGCUACCCAAGUCUACCCUUGGCCACUCCACGGACAAUCACUAAGAGAAGAGGGAUGCACUUUGUGGUGUUGUUUUUGGAAAGCUCCUAUUUAGAAAACUCUUGAUGGUAUGCUGUCAUGAAGGGGCUGGCGGCUGUGGACAGGCAGUGAUCAUCUAAUGGAGCCCCUGGAAGUACC
RNAcentral lists this long non-coding RNA (1809 nucleotides) under Homo sapiens (human). RNAcentral describes it as "non-protein coding lnc-DLEU7-6:1". Lineage: Eukaryota; Metazoa; Chordata; Mammalia; Primates; Hominidae. The record is from RNAcentral.